This 1059-nucleotide ribosomal RNA is filed under the name uncultured organism. RNAcentral's name for it is "bacterial SSU rRNA". It matches the Rfam family "Bacterial small subunit ribosomal RNA", at positions 51 to 1071 of the family's 1533-position model. The record is from RNAcentral.
ACACAUGCAAGUCGAACGAGAAAUCUUUAGCUUGCUAGAGAAAGUAAGUGGCGCACGUGGUGAGUAACGCGUGGGUAAUCUGCCUCCGAAUCGGGGAUAACAUUGCGAAAGCGAUGCUAAUACCGGAUAAAAUCUGGUUGGCUUAUGUGAACCGGAUCNAAUGUGGUCUCUUUAUAAAAGCUACCGUUUGGAGAUGAGCUCGCGUACCAUUAGCUAGUUGGUGAUGUAAAGGCUCACCAAUGCGACGAUGGUUAGCUGGUCUGAGAGGAUGAUCAGCCACACCGGAACUGGAACACGGUCCGGACUCCUACGGGAGGCAGCAGUGAGGAAUUUUGCGCAAUGGGGGAAACCCUGACGCAGCAACGCCGCGUGAGUGAUGAAGGCUUUCGGGUCGUAAAGCUCUGUCAGGUGGGAAGAACCCACCAAGUGUUAAGACCACUUGGUGCUGACGGUACCACCGAAGGAAGCACCGGCUAACUCCGUGCCAGCAGCCGCGGUAAUACGGGGGGUGCGAGCGUUAUUCGGAAUCAUUGGGCGUAAAGGGCGCGCAGGCGGUUUUGUAAGUCAGAUGUGAAAUCCCGGGGCUUAACCCCGGAAGUGCAUAUGAAACUAUGAGACUUGAGUAUGGGAGAGGGAAGCGGAAUUCCUGGUGUAGCGGUGAAAUGCGUAGAUAUCAGGAGGAACACCGGUGGCGAAGGCGGCUUCCUGGACCAAUACUGACGCUGAGGCGCGAAGGCGUGGGGAGCGAACCGGAUUAGAUACCCUGGUAGUCCACGCAGUAAACGUUGAUCACUAGGUGUAGCGGGUAUUGACCCCUGCUUGUGCCGGAAUUAACGCAUUAAGUGAUCCGCAUGGGGGAGUACGGAUCCGCAAAGAUUAAAACUCAAAGGAAUUGACGGGUGCCCGCACAAGCGGUGGAGCAUGUGGUUUAAUUCGACGCAACGCGAAGAACCUUACCUGGACUUGACCUCUCGGGGAAUCCCGUUGAAAGACGGGAGUGCCUUUAACGAGGGAUCCGAUGACAGGUGCUGCAUGGCUGUCGUCAGCUCGUGUCGUGAG